Molecule: long non-coding RNA, 2711 nt
Organism: Homo sapiens (human)
Lineage: Eukaryota; Metazoa; Chordata; Mammalia; Primates; Hominidae
Gene: GBA1LP
Product: glucosylceramidase beta 1 like, pseudogene
Source: Ensembl
GGAAGCCAGAAUUACUUGCAGGAGUAACCUAGUGCCUAUAGCUAUGGCAGGUACCUGCAUCCUUGUUUUUGUUUAGUGGAUCCUCUAUCCUUCAGAGACUCUGGAACCCCUGUGCUCUUCUCCUCAUCUAGUGACCCUGAGGUGAUGGAGUUUUCAAGUCCUUCCAGAGAGGAAUGUCCCAAGCCUUCGGGUAGGGUAAGCAUCAUGGCUGGCAGCCUCACAGGAUUGCUUCUACUUCAGGCAGUGUCGUGGGCAUCAGAUGAGUGCCUUCAGCCGCUACAAGAGCAGAAGCAGUGGGCAUUGGAUGGAGCUGAGUACAGGACCAUACAGGCUAAUUGCACCGGCACAGGUAACCAUUACACCCUUCACCCCCCGGGCCAGGCUGGGUCCUCCUAGAGGUAAACGGUGUCAGUGAUCACCAUGGAGUUUCUCCCCUGGGCACUGAUAACCCUGUGGAUGUCCUCAGGCCUGCUACUGAUCCUGCAGCCAGAAGUUCCAGAAAGUGAAGGGAUUUGGAGGGGCCGUGACAGAUGCAGGUGCCCUCAACAUCCUUGCCCUGUCACCCCCUGCCCAGAAUUUGCUACUUAAAUGGUACUUCUCUGAAGAAGAUGAGGAGGAAGGGGACAGGAUGACAUAGAGCCACUGACACUUUUCUUUGCCAAUUCUUUGGACCCUGACUUCUGCCCAUCCCUGACAUUUGGUUCCUGUCUUAAUGCCAGUGAAAUAAGAUUUCGCCGCCUAUCAUCUGCUAACUGCUACGGACUCAGGCUCAGAAAGGCCUGCGCUUCACCCAGGUGCCAGCCUCCACAGGUUCCAACCCAGGAGCCCAAGUUCCUUUUGGCCCUGACUCAGACACUAUUAGGACUGGCAAGUGAUAAGCAGAGUCCCAUACUCUCCUAUUGACUCGGACUACCAUAUCUUGAUCAUCCUUUUCUGUAGGAAUCGGAUAUAACAUCAUCUGGGUACCCAUGGCCAGCUGUGACUUCUCCAUCCGCACCUACACCUAUGCAGACACCCCUGAUGAUUUCCAGUUGCACAACUUCAGCCUCCCAGAGGAAGAUACCAAGCUCAAGAUACCCCUGAUUCACCGAGCCCUGCAGUUGGCCCAGCGUCCCGUUUCACUCCUUGCCAGCCCCUGGACAUCACCCACUCGGCUCAAGACCAGGGGAGCGGGGAAUGGGAAGGGGCCACUCAAGGGACAGCCCAGAGACAUCUACCACCAGACCUGGGCCAGAUACAUUGUGAAGUUCCUGGAUGCCUAUGCUGAGCACAAGUUACAGUUCUGGGCAGUGACAGCUGAAAAUGAGCCUUCUGCUGGGCUGUUGAGUGGAUACCCCUUCCAGUGCCUGGGCUUCACCCCUGAACAUCAGCGAGACUUCAUUGCCCGUGACCUAGGUCCUACCCUUGCCAACGGUACUCACCACAAUGUCCGCCUACUCAUGCUGGAUGACCAACGCUUGCUGCUGCCCCACUGGGCAAAGGUGGUACUGACAGACCCAGAAGCAGCUAAAGGCCUGUGUGGGUUCCAAGUUCUGGGAGCAGAGUGUGCGGCUAGGCUCCUGGGAUCGAGGGAUGCAGUACAGCCACAGCAUCAUCACAGUCUGCACACCUCAUUGCCCCUUUUGCAACUACUGAGGCACUUGCAGCUGCCUCAGACUUCUCAGCUCCCCUUGAGAUGCCUGGAUCUUCACACCCCCAACUCCUUAGCUACUAAGGAAUGUGCCCCUCACAGGGCUGACCUACCCACAGCUGCCUCUCCCACACGUGACCCUUACCUACACUCUCUGGGGACCCCCAGUGUUGCGCCUUUGUCUCCUUGCCUUUGUCCUUACCCUAGAACCUCCUGUACCAUGUGGUCGGCUGGACCGACUGGAACCCAUCAUUGUAGACAUCACCAAGCACACGUUUUACAAACAGCCCAUGUUCUACCACCUUGGCCACUUCAGCAAGUUCAUUCCUGAGGGCUCCCAGAGAGUGGGGCUGGUUGCCAGUCAGAAGAACGACCCGGACGCAGUGGCACUGAUGCAUCCCGAUGGCUCUGCUGUUGUGGUCGUGCUAAACCGCUCCUCUAAGGAUGUGCCUCUUACCAUCAAGGAUCCUGCUGUGGGCUUCCUGGAGACAAUCUCACCUGGCUACUCCAUUCACACCUACCUGUGGCGUCGCCAGUGAUGGAGCAGAUACUCAAGGAGGCACUGGGCUCAGCCUGGGCAUUAAAGGGACAGAGUCAGCUCACACGCUGUCUGUGACUAAAGAGGGCACAGCAGGGCCAGUGUGAGCUUACAGCGACGUAAGCCCAGGGGCAAUGGUUUGGGUGACUCACUUUCCCCUCUAGGUGGUGCCAGGGGCUGGAGGCCCCUAGAAAAAGAUCAGUAAGCCCCAGUGUCCCCCCAGCCCCCAUGCUUAUGUGAACAUGCGCUGUGUGCUGCUUGCUUUGGAAACUGGGCCUGGGUCCAGGCCUAGGGUGAGCUCACUGUCCGUACAAACACAAGAUCAGGGCUGAGGGUAAGGAAAAGAAGAGACUAGGAAAGCUGGGCCCAAAACUGGAGACUGUUUGUCUUUCCUGGAGAUGCAGAACUGGGCCCGUGGAGCAGCAGUGUCAGCAUCAGGGCGGAAGCCUUAAAGCAGCAGCGGGUGUGCCCAGGCACCCAGAUGAUUCCUAUGGCACCAGCCAGGAAAAAUGGCAGCUCUUAAAGGAGAAAAUGUUUGAGCCC